CAAACUUCGUUUCAAACAAAUACGAUACGGGCGUAUGUGUCAUAAGGAACAUGCAGUGUUAUCGGGAACCUUAGUUUGAACAUGUAUGUGAAGUUUCAAUCCAACAAGGAGAGGAGUGAAAUAGCACUAGGAUUUUUGAAAAACCAGAAAAAAAUGAGGAACUGAAGUCAGUUGCUGCAACCGUUGGUCUGUCUGUGAAAGAUCUUAUGCAGGAGGAUGUUUGUACUGUGGAGGGAAAAAAACAGACGAAUUAUAAUGAAGGAGGUGGAUAUGUUAUUCCUUCAAAAGACGCUCGAGGGGGGAAAAAACACUCAUUCCUACCGGGUGAAAACUGCGAUCUGACUGCAGUUACGAUUACGAGGUAAUUGAAUCCAAUGAGGCUUAUUAGUCCCUUAUGGUACUCUGUAAGAGGGUAAAAAUUGAUCAACUAAUUCCUUACCAUCCUUUGGUUAAUAGGUAACACAAUUUACGGAAACAUGUACAAGAAUUUGCUAGUACGUCGUUUAUGACUGGGAAAGAUUAUAAGUUAAUAUGUGACCAAGUAUAAAAUAAAUACACUGUAAAUGAAGAAGGAUUUAGCCUGAGAAACCCAGAAACGCCUUGUUACCUUAUUUGAAGCGACAAAGAGGACAUAAUCUCACAGUACAUUGAUUGCGCAAUCAGUAUACUCUCAAACAAGUAUAUGUGCAUGGUGGAUUGGAUACUGUAUGAUGUGGAAUGUAAUCAUAUUUAUGCCCUCUCAUUCGGACCUAAUCAAAUAUAC
Molecule: long non-coding RNA, 763 nt
Organism: Argentina anserina (silverweed cinquefoil)
Lineage: Eukaryota; Viridiplantae; Streptophyta; Magnoliopsida; Rosales; Rosaceae
Exons: 3
Source: RefSeq, a predicted model, not a curated record